Long non-coding RNA from Apodemus sylvaticus (European woodmouse), 819 nucleotides. RefSeq lists it as uncharacterized. The record is from RefSeq and is a predicted model, not a curated record. The transcript is spliced from 3 exons. Lineage: Eukaryota; Metazoa; Chordata; Mammalia; Rodentia; Muridae.
CUAGCCAGAACGCGGUUUGUCCGACACGGGUAACCAAUGAACAGGGGAAUUCUCACGGCUAGCCAAUCUGACACCCUGGGAGCUAGAGAUUUGGAAGAAGUCUCGUUUUCGCCUUCUGGGUUGCACUACACUGUCAGGUGCUUGAGAUCUGGGAGCUUCCUGGAAAGUGCAGUCUAAUUAGAGCGGAGCCUCCUUCAUGACCAAAGAUCGUUAUAAAAAAAAUGGCCAGACGAAUAUGGGGACUGCCCAUAUUGGUCUUGCCAGACAUGCUAGGAUCAUGAACCAAUCACUUCUAUCAACAAUGCAAGAACUCUUUUUCCACAUACAAGACCCAUGGAGUCCUAGGUGGGAGACCGGAGUUGUGGAAUUCCAGCCGCUGUCCACAGAGGAGCCUCUGUCCACAGAGGAACCUGAUGUGAAUGUUUACCAAGUGGACCCCGGUAGUGAAAGUCAGCUACACCCAAAAUUGACAAUGCCCCUAGACAGCAGGAAGCUGUUUAAGAGACCUGACACCCCUAUUCCCCUUUCACCAUCUGCUUCCCCCUCCCCCCUUUUUUCCUUCUCUUUAUGAUAAGAAAAAAGGAAGUAUGUUGGCAUCAGAAGCCAGCUUCUGAAUCCAGUGAUGACAUUACCCAUAGGCAACAGGGACCUGCACAUCUGUAGCUGUGGCCUCUGUUCAGCUGCCCACCCUCAUCUGCGCCAGCGGUACAUGCGGUUACAUCGUGGCCUAAAUAAAAGGCAAAGCCCUCUAACCUCUCUCUUUCCUCCUCCUUCUUCAUCUAACUCCUCCUUUGUCCUCCCCCAAGCUCCCAAUAAACC